Parasteatoda tepidariorum (common house spider) is the source of this 1256-nucleotide non-coding RNA. Lineage: Eukaryota; Metazoa; Arthropoda; Arachnida; Araneae; Theridiidae. The record is from RefSeq and is a predicted model, not a curated record.
AGAAACCUCUGUGAGUGUUAUAGUUGUGAAGCGUGCCAGUUAUGAAGUUCUACGUUCCAUCCGUAACGUGCCGAAAAUCAUGACUUGAAUCGCUAACAUCCACAACGAACUUAUAGAAUAUAUAUCACUUAGAGCAUUUUCUAUUCUCUAAGACUCCAGAUAAAUAGAGAACUUAGAUUUGUCUUUUUUUCUUCUUCAAAUUAGAUAUAAAAAUUUUUACACAUUUUAUAGCUGUUUAUAUUGGAUGGUGAAUAGUGUACCACGCCGGUGCCGUCUUCCCUAAUGGCGGGUAUUCGAACCGUAGUUCUGAACUCUGUUUAUUCUCGGUGUGCAACUAUCCUCUGUAUUUAUACUAUCAUCAAUCAAAUAGGUAAGUGUAUUAUAUUCAAGUUCUCUGCUUUCUUCCUUAUGAGGUAAAAAAUUCUUAUAUUCUAACUUUUUUGCAAUCUUAAUUUUUGCUGUCAGGUACCUUUUCAUGAACCACUCAUACAUUUAAAUUAAAUUCAUUUUGCUAUGUAAUAAGCUUUUAUAGAGAUAUUCAAAUGCAACUUUAAACGUUUAUUUAGCCGCGUUAGCAAUCCACUAGUCACAAUUUUUUUCAUUGAUUUUAAACUUUGAUCUUAUAUUAGAAAUCAACUGACCACAUUUUUGAGUUAACAAUGUUUACACGUGAUUGAAUAGGAAAUACGCGUGAUUUAAUAAAAUUAAUGAGUUUACACGCGAUUUAAUAAAAAUUUAAUAGGAAAUUAACGUUUAAACUAUAAUAUAUUUGAAGUAACGACUUCAUUUGAAACUGUCAACUUUUUUUAGGAAGACCAUUUAAAAAUUCAUAGUUGAAAUUUUGCAAUUCCAGCAAUAAGGCAUUUAAAAAAAAAAAGGUGCUAUUUGCGCGUAGAAAAAACACGACUUCCUUUCAGCCUUUAAAAGAAGGAGUAGCCCUUAAAAUUUACUCUUUACAUAGCCUUACCGCAAAACUUGGCAAUCUUUCUCGCUAAAUGGAUGUUUUCAAAGAUACGAAAAUAAUGUAUUUUUUGUUACUGUUAUAAUUUAUUUUUCUGAGAAUAAAGCUGUUAAUACGCGAUACAAGUGGUGAAGAUUUUUUCCCUUUAUCUUUGGUGGCGCCAGAACUAAAACUUGUACAGUUAAAAGUGGAGGAAAAACCUCUGGGUUUUACCGUCUGAGUUAAAACAACCCAUGUGUGAACAAACAUACAAUUUUAUGAUUAUCUGUUUUCUUUUUUUUAUUUUUUUUUAUUU